Molecule: unclassified non-coding RNA, 166 nt
Filed under: uncultured Talaromyces
Lineage: Eukaryota; Fungi; Ascomycota; Eurotiomycetes; Eurotiales; Trichocomaceae
Description: sequence contains ITS2
Source: RNAcentral
CUGCCCUCAAGCCCGGCUUGUGUGUUGGGCGUGGUCCCCCCGGUUUAGGGGGGACCUGCCCGAAAGGCAGCGGCGACGUUCCGCCUAGGUCCUCGAGCGUAUGGGGCUUUGUCACCCGCUCGGGAGGGGCCUACGGGCGUUGGCCAUCCACCAUUUUUUUUAACGG